GACGAACGCUGGCGGCGUGCUUAACACAUGCAAGUCGAACGGGAAGGCCCUGCUGUUGUUGGAUGCUCGGGUGGCGAACGGGUGAGUAACACGUGAGUAACCUGCCGUUGACUUUGGGUUAACGUCAGGAAGCUGGGGCUAAUACCGGAUAGGUGCUCCUGCUGCAUGGUGGGGGUUGGAAAGUUUCGGCGGGUGGGGGUGGACUCGCGUCUUCUCAGCUUGUUGGUGGGUUAGUGGCUUACCAAGGCAUUGACGGGUAGCCGGCCUGAGAGGGUGACCGGGCACAUUGGGACAGAGAUCCGGCCGAGACUAAUACGGGAGGCAGUAGGGGGGAAUAUUGCACAAUGGGCGGAAGAAUGAUGCAGCAAAGCCGCGUGCGGGAUGACGGCCUGCGGGUUGGAAACCGAUCUCGCUUGCGACGAAGCGUGAGUGACGGUAAUGGGUACAGAAGCACCGGCUAACUACGUG
RNAcentral lists this ribosomal RNA (468 nucleotides) under uncultured bacterium. RNAcentral describes it as "partial 16S ribosomal RNA". It matches the Rfam family "Bacterial small subunit ribosomal RNA", at positions 28 to 507 of the family's 1533-position model. The record is from RNAcentral.